Molecule: long non-coding RNA, 952 nt
Filed under: Acanthaster planci (crown-of-thorns starfish)
Lineage: Eukaryota; Metazoa; Echinodermata; Asteroidea; Valvatida; Acanthasteridae
Description: uncharacterized LOC110975704, transcript variant X1
Source: RNAcentral
GUACAUUACUAGGGAUGCACAACUUGUAGAUGCAGACAUCUAGAUUAUAAUUGUGACAUUCACGUCCCCAUAAGACAGACCUUGCGUGCUGGCAAGCAGUCAUUAUCUGUGGCAUGUAAACAGUUUCACUUUUAGCAAGCUUUUCAAGCCGAAGCCACAAUUAAUUGUCUCCAGUUGCUGACUUUGUUGAAGCAUUCAAGGUGCCAUUGCCAUUGGCACCCAGGUGUGUGAGUUGGAGGAGGAGACCUGCUUUCCUGAGGGCAGCCAGGAAUAUGCCUUGACAGCAGUACUGAUGACCAACCACAGUCCUCAAGCCACGCAGAGUGGUCAGAAGAAGCAGAAACAUGAUGAAAUCCAAGUCCCACCUCUGUUUAAAAACAACCAUGAACUCUGCAGCAUACAACAUCAGUACCCACUGGCAACCCGUACAAGCAGGAGAUCGCCAGUGCAUAUCUAGGCCAUGUUUGGAUAUCAAUUCAAAACUUAGAAGUUGGGAAGCAGAUAAGGCCAGGAGAGAUUCAUUUGUAGUCAGCUUGCAGAAGGAGAUGGAGAAUUUCUCCAACUAGACUUACCAGCCCGUCGUUGUGAUAACCAAGACUCUACAGAAAAGAGAGCUCUUCAGUGAGGCCAAGGCUAAUGGCUUCAAGUACGUCACCUUAGGGGGGUCAGCAUAAUUUUCUAGCUAUGCGAGAGAUGCACAAACUGCAUUCUGAGGAGGAGCUCUUCAAAAGUCGACGGUGCAGUGUUUAUUAUCAUGCAGCACUGUCCUUAGAAGCCACCCUGGCCUUGGCAAACAUCCACAAUGUCAUUGGUGGAUUUAGGCACAUCAUUACGUGGAUUUAAGAUGACAUUCAAUAACAAGGUGCAGUUGUGUCACACAAUAAAGGAGGAGACAGCACUCCCAGGAAAGGACGAGUGGAAAAACACUUGCUGCAAAGUCUUGAACCAGAAG